CUCGACGGGCCGUGUCUCUGGUGUCACAAAAUCAUCCACUGGAGAAGGUGGAAGAGGUACCAGAAGACAGUCGGGAGGUGUCUUGCGGCUCAGAGAAUCAUCAACUGGAGAAGGUGGUAGAGGUAUGAAAAAAGAGGAGAUGUCUUGCGUGUCCUAAAAUCAUCAACUCGAGGAAAUGGUACAGGUCCCCAGCGACGCUUGACGGAAGAUGUCUCUGGUGUCCGAAAAUCAUCCAAUGGAGAAGGUGGAAGAGGUACGAAAAAAGAGUGGGGAGGUGUCUUGCGUCUCCUAAAAUCAUCAGCUCGAGGAGAUGGUACAGGUCCCCGGCGACACUCGACAGGCGGUGUUUCUGGUGUCAGAAAAUCAUCUACUGGAGAAGGUGGAAGAGGUACCAGAAGACACUCGGGAGGUGCCCUGAGGCUCCGAGAAUCAACAACUGGAGAAGGUGGAAGAAGUAUGAAAAAAGACUCGGGAGGUUUCUUGCAUCUCCUAAAAUCAUCAUCUCGAGGAGAUGGUACAGGUCCCCAGUGACACUUGACGGGUGGUGUCUCUGGUGUCAGAAAAUCAUCCACUGGAGAAGGUGGAAGAGGUACCAGAAGACACUCGGGAGGUGUCUCGAGGCUCAGAGAAUCAUCAAAUGGAGAAAGUGGAAGAGGUACGGAAAAAGAGUCGGAAGGCUUCUUGCGUCUCCAAAAAUCAUCACCUCGAGG
Nomascus leucogenys (northern white-cheeked gibbon) is the source of this 710-nucleotide long non-coding RNA. RefSeq lists it as uncharacterized. The record is from RefSeq and is a predicted model, not a curated record. The transcript is spliced from 3 exons. NCBI's taxonomy places the organism in Eukaryota, Metazoa, Chordata, Mammalia, Primates, Hylobatidae.